GACGAACGCUGGCGGCGUGCCUAAUACAUGCAAGUCGAACGCUGUUUCGAACGGGUGAGUAACGCGCAGGUACCUGCCUCAUCGCGGGGGAUAACUAUUGGAAACGAUAGCUAAUACCGCACAUUUUAAGAUUGACCUGCGUUGUAUUAGGUAGUUGGUGGGGUAAAGGCUCACCAAGGCGACGAUACAUAGCCGACCUGAGAGGGUGAUCGGCCACACUGGGACUGAGACACGGCCCAGACUCCUACGGGAGGCAGCAGUAGGGAAGCUUCGGCAAUGGACGGAAGUCUGACCGAGCAACGCCGCGUGAGUGAAGAAGGUUUUCGGAUCGUAAAGCUCUGUUGUUAGAGAAGGGGUAACUAACCAGAAAGGGACGGCUAACUACGUGCCAGCAGCCGCGGUAAUUC
RNAcentral lists this ribosomal RNA (407 nucleotides) under uncultured bacterium. Its description in RNAcentral is "partial 16S ribosomal RNA". It matches the Rfam family "Bacterial small subunit ribosomal RNA", at positions 28 to 526 of the family's 1533-position model. The record is from RNAcentral.